This 850-nucleotide ribosomal RNA is filed under the name Odontolabis cuvera fallaciosa. RNAcentral describes it as "partial 16S ribosomal RNA". The stretch from base 366 to 566 matches the Rfam family "Archaeal large subunit ribosomal RNA", at positions 1797 to 2106 of the family's 2987-position model. Lineage: Eukaryota; Metazoa; Arthropoda; Insecta; Coleoptera; Lucanidae. The record is from RNAcentral.
GUUGAAUAAUUAUUUGUAAUAUAUUUUUUGUAAUUAUAUGUUAUUCGUUUUUCAAUAUAUCUGGUUUUUGAGGAAAUUAAUUUAAUUAAGCUGAAUUUUGAAUUUUUCUAUAUAUUUAGAUUUUAUUAAGAUUUAUGUAAUGUUUAAGGGGAUAAGCUUUUAAACAAAUCUAUAUAAUUAAAUAUUGUAUUGUUUGAUGUAGGAAUAGAAGUUUUCAUCUUUUGAAGUGUAUUAUUACUUGAUUUUAUAAUAUUUGAUUUUUGUUUUUUUAUAUUUUUUACUUAAAUUAUAAUUUGAAUUGUUUUUGUUUUGUAAUAAUGAUUGAAUUAGUAUAUUAAAUUGUUUUUAUAUUAUUGUUUGGUAGGUUAUCUAAAGGAAUUCGGCAAUUAAAUUUUCUGCCUGUUUAUUAAAAACAUGGCCUUUUGAUAAUAAUUUAAGGUCUGACCUGCUCUAUGAUUAAUUAAAUGGCUGCGGUAUUUUGACCGUGCAAAGGUAGCAUAAUCAUUAGUUUUUUAAUUGGAAGCUGGUAUGAAUGGUUGGACAAGAGAAUUACUGUCUCUGGAUAAUUUGGUUUGAAUUUUAUUUUUUAGUGAGAAAGCUUAAAUUUUUGUGAGGGACGAGAAGACCCUAUAGAAUUUUAUAGAUUAAUUUUGGUGAGGUUUUUAGGUUAAUUGGUUUAGUUUAAAUUAAUUUGUUUUGUUGGGGCGAUAGAAAAAUUUAUUUAACUUUUUUUUACUUUAUACAUUGAUAUAUGAGUAUAUGAUCCAUUAAUUAUGAUUAUAAGAUAAAAUUACCUUAGGGAUAACAGCGUUAUUAGUUUGGAGAGUUCUUAUCGAUAAACUAGAUUGCG